Myotis davidii is the source of this 94-nucleotide long non-coding RNA. RefSeq lists it as uncharacterized. Lineage: Eukaryota; Metazoa; Chordata; Mammalia; Chiroptera; Vespertilionidae. The transcript is spliced from 3 exons. The record is from RefSeq and is a predicted model, not a curated record.
GUAAAAGCUAAGAACUUAUAACUGUUAGAGGAAAACACAGGGGUAAAUCUUCAUAACUUUGAAUUUGGAAAUGAUUUCUGAGAUAAGACACCAA